RNAcentral lists this ribosomal RNA (455 nucleotides) under Serratia fonticola. RNAcentral's name for it is "bacterial SSU rRNA". It matches the Rfam family "Bacterial small subunit ribosomal RNA", at positions 30 to 486 of the family's 1533-position model. The record is from RNAcentral. Lineage: Bacteria; Pseudomonadati; Pseudomonadota; Gammaproteobacteria; Enterobacterales; Yersiniaceae.
AUUGAACGCUGGCGGCAGGCCUAACACAUGCAAGUCGAGCGGUAGCACAAGGAGCUUKCUCCUGGGUGACGAGCGGCGGACGGGUGAGUAAUGUCUGGGAAACUGCCCGAUGGWGGGGGAUAAYUACUGGAAACGGUAGYUAAUACCGCAUAACGUCUUCGGACCAAAGUGGGGGACCUUCGGGCCUCWCACCAUCGKAUGUGCCCAGAUGGGAUUAGCUAGUAGGUGAGGUAAUGGCUCACCUAGGCGACGAUCCCUAGCUGGUCUGAGAGGAUGACCAGCCACACUGGAACUGAGACACGGUCCAGACUCCUACGGGAGGCAGCAGUGGGGAAUAUUGCACAAUGGGCGCAAGCCUGAUGCACSCCAUGCCGCGUGUGUGAAGAAGGCCUUCGGGUUGUAAAGCACUUUCAGCGAGGAGGAAGGGUUCRGUGUUAAUAGCRCUGUUCAUUGAC